CACUUUCUGCUUAACUGUCUUUUCUAGCAAAUACCCCACACACGAUUUUCUUGUGCCCCCAUACACUUCGCUUGCAUGAGUAGGAUAAUCAGUAGGAGUGUUUGGUGGCGCAUGGAUGCACCCUGGUGGUAUGCUUAACUGGAUACCCCCACGCUGCAAAACUGCGCUACUCUGCUUUUUAGGCAGAUUAUAGUGAUAAAUCCGUUUGUAUUGUUUGUUUCGGUGCACCAUGGCCGUCUCCGUGAGCUGGGUUUACCAGUUGCACAAGACCGAUUUGGCGCUGCAUCUCGAGGAAAAUGGUCUGCCCUUGGCGGACACCGAUACCGUCGCCGAGAUGAGGGCGCGUUUGGUUGACUACCUGCGUAAAUCCGCAGGAGCCGCAUCUGAAGUCACGACCAGGCAGCCCCCAGCUGAUUUUCCUUCAAGCGCGCGCGCCUCCUUUCUACCCCUCCCUUGGGCUGUGCGCGGACAACUCUACGAGAAGCCUGCUACGUCUCUGCUUUGCCGCUGCCCCUCCGCCCCCUACGCCGCCAGCCCUUGACUGCUGCGGGGUGAGGAGACUGUUGGACGGCGUGGAGAUCUGGUGACAGACUCUCCGCUGUUCGGACGCCACCGCCGCCGCGGUUCAGCUCUAGAGGUAUUCUCGGCCCGCCAGAAGACGUCUGCGGGAAGGAUGCUGCAGAGUUCCGAUGUCCGCCACUUAGCGCUGAGUGGCUGAGACGAGGAAAAGCGCCGAGCGCUGCCUGAACCCCUUGCAACCUUGUACCGCCAGAAUAGGUCACCUGAUACGGCGCUUAUCGUUUCUCUCUUUCACUUCAGAAAAAAUGGAGGGGGACCUGUCAGCGACACGUCGGACGCGAGUCGCCUGUAUUCUACUUGUGCAGCACCAAGGAGAUCGCGGUCCCCUGUUGGAGCUGCCACCCGUCGCACCGCUGAAACGAACACGUUGCUGCCCCCUCCAGCGGCACGAUCCGGCUAGUUUCAAGUCAUUUCUACAUCGUCUGAAUCAAGGCGUUCGCAAGAUACAAGAAGUUGGCUCAUGUCACAAACACUGAACUUCAACACGACUUUAAGCUCGGGCUCACAGGGCAGAAGACUUCGUAAGGGGUGGGGGUUGAAGCGCCCGCCGCGCUUCUGUGACGUCAUCUCCGUGCCGCAGCCUUCCUUUCCUUCUCCCCUCUUAACCCCUCUCCGCCUCAAGGUGCCAAUUUCCCCUUCCCUUUCUUUCCCCCUAGCCUCUCCUCAAUUGUAGCGACUGCAACGCCAUCUAGCGAAUAGUAUAAAUGAGCGCGUAUAACUUUUAAUUGUCUAUUUCGUGGGUCUCUCUUGGUGGAAGCAGGUCGUCUCUGGCCCGGUCGAGGGGCAGCUCGUCUAGGUAAAAUUCUUCAGGAGACGGAGUUAGUGUGUGCACACGAUGGCCGUGCGAGUAACGUAAAUAUUAAAUAUGCUUGCCAGCCUUGAUUUUCAUGUAGCCAUCCCUUUUGACUUUGACCUUCACUUAAUUUAUUUUCUGUGUAAUAUUUUCUUUUGUUUCUUUUUUCUGCUGGAAGCAUUUGCUUACUCCCUCCUGCAUGUGGUUUUGAUUUUAGUUGCUGCGCGACUUGCAUUGUCGGCAGUGGACUCUUAACUUAUUUCAACGGCAUCCAGACCACGCUUUGAUUGCUUUUGGUUUAGAAGUAAGCACGUUAAGUGCCCGAUGCCGCCCUUGUAUUUUUUUUUUCAUAAGAGCUUUCAGCUCCGUAUGACGUAAUUUUACGCAUCGUUUUGCCUCGAUUUUGCCCUCUUUCUUUUCCUCCCAGCUGUACCCCCGACCGGAGCCAUUUGGUUAAGGCAUACCCCCCGUGAUCUAGCAUAUUUUGUUUGAGCACUUCUCUGUAUUACGCUUACCUAGCCUUGGCAGUGAAUGUCAUCAUGACGAGACCCACUGAAAAUUGUAGCUGUAACAAACCAUGUAACCGAUCCCUCGCUUCUCUCUUGGGCUUGCAUUUCUGUCCGCGGGACUACGCUCUCUAUGAGUAAUAGAUAUUUAAUAUGUUUUUUUCGAGGAGUGCACAAUUAACGUUAUAUUAGGUGUUGGUUUAUUUUGUAGUACAUAAUUCCUUGCCCCUACACGUGUUUGGACCGCUCGUAUAGUCUGUAUGUAUAUUGAGUCAGUUCCUAAAGUUGUUAACAGCAACGUACGUCUUGUGAAUCACGUGUGUAAUGACAUAAUGUUCACUAUGAUUUUGGUCUUCGCUCGCCUCCGGGCCGUAACGUAAUGCGUACGCACGUAUACUUGAAUAUUGGUUUCUCUCCUCUCUUAUAGUGUGUGGUAACUGAGUCAUAAUUUCGCACAGAAAAUGAGAAAAUGUCUAUCCCCAUUGUCAGAGGCGACUGUUUUAUACUGCAUGAUCCAGGGCAUGCCUAGGAAAUUCAACUUGUAACGGAGAGAGAGAAAGAAUAUUAACUUGUUGCUUGUUGCUUGUUGUUUCGUACGACUGUAAGAGAUACGCAGUAGUAGUUUGUUUGUUGAAUCAGAGUACAUUGGGCACAAGGUUCACCCUAGUUUUUUUCAUAAGUAAGGACUCAGUAAAGACAUAAGGAGUGAAAAUCAUUGUGAAGGGAAUAAACUUCAUUAAAUGUAUGCUAAUUUGUAUUUGCUACGCACAUGCCUCUAGCUGGCAUCGAAUCCGUUGACAGUGUAUGUAUAUGUGUUAAGUUUGCGAAAUUAUAACGUUGUUGAGUGCGA
Bacillus rossius redtenbacheri is the source of this 2728-nucleotide long non-coding RNA. RefSeq lists it as uncharacterized. The transcript is spliced from 2 exons. Lineage: Eukaryota; Metazoa; Arthropoda; Insecta; Phasmatodea; Bacillidae. The record is from RefSeq and is a predicted model, not a curated record.